UAAUACGGGGGGAGCAAGCGUUGUUCGGAUUUACUGGGCGUAAAGGGCGCGUAGGCGGUCACCCAAGUCACUUGUGAAAUCUCCGGGCUCAACCCGGAGCGGCCAAGUGAUACUGGGCGACUGGAGUGCGGAAGGGGCAAUCGGAAUUCUCGGUGUAGCGGUGAAAUGCGUAGAUAUCGAGAGGAACACCUGCGGCGAAGGCGGGUUGCUGGGCCGACACUGACGCUGAGGCGCGAAAGCCAGGGGAGCGAACGGGAUUAGAUACCCCGGUAGUCCUGGCCUUAAACGAUGAAUGCUUGGUGUCCGGGGUUGUGAAGUCCCCGGGUGCCGUCGCUAACGCUUUUAGCAUUCCGCCUGGGGAGUACGGUCGCAAGACUG
This 378-nucleotide ribosomal RNA is filed under the name uncultured bacterium. RNAcentral's name for it is "bacterial SSU rRNA". It matches the Rfam family "Bacterial small subunit ribosomal RNA", at positions 521 to 896 of the family's 1533-position model. The record is from RNAcentral.